RNAcentral lists this long non-coding RNA (665 nucleotides) under Olea europaea subsp. europaea. Lineage: Eukaryota; Viridiplantae; Streptophyta; Magnoliopsida; Lamiales; Oleaceae. The record is from RNAcentral.
AAAGAAUGCAAUUUAACUCCAACCAAACCCUAAACCAAUGAUUUCUCUCGGCCAAUUUCCUGCGAUUCUCAUGAUUUUGGUCGAUAAUUGGCGACCCUUUUUAACGUUUUUCAUCAGCCAUCAUCAAAUCAUACCUCUUUCUCCAUUCAAUUUGAGGUGAGGACCAAAGUUUUGUUAGUUUUCCUGGUAAAUUCUUUUACUUUCCCGUGUAAUUUGAUUUUUAUGAAGACAAUCAUUAGAAAUGAUGUUGUGUUAGGACAUCUAUUGAAAUUAUGAGAUACUUGCCUCAGCAAGUAUUCAAGAAAGUUUGACAGCGGCACCAAUGACAGAACUAGCAGAGCGGAUAUGAAGAAGGGUAGUGAUUGGUGGCGAAAUACGGAAUAAGGGUAGUGAACAGUGGUGGAAUAAUGGAUUUGGAAGCAGUGUCCGAUGCAUUGAGGUCUAAAGUAGGGAUGCAAAUUCAUUGAGGAAGAUAAUAGUUCGGGAGGUGGUGGAAAUACAGAAUCCUGUACAAAAUGUGAGGUUCUCGACUGUUGCUAAUCCACUGCACCUUAGGAUUCGAGGACUAGGACAACAGAGUGAGACGGAGCGGCUUCAGCGAGGAGAGAUAGAUGGGUGGUAGACAAGUUCUAUCUAUCUAGUUAUAUACAAAUGAAGAAUAGCUG